RNAcentral lists this ribosomal RNA (275 nucleotides) under uncultured bacterium. RNAcentral describes it as "partial 16S ribosomal RNA". It matches the Rfam family "Bacterial small subunit ribosomal RNA", at positions 79 to 353 of the family's 1533-position model. The record is from RNAcentral.
CUAAGUUUGAUGGCGACCGGCGCACGGGUGAGUAACACGUAUCCAACCUGCCGAUGACUCGGGGAUAGCCUUUCGAAAGAAAGAUUAAUACCCGAUGGCAUAAUGAUUCCGCAUGGUUUCAUUAUUAAAGGAUUCCGGUAAAGGAUGGGGAUGCGUUCCAUUAGGUUGUUGGUGGGGUAACGGCCCACCAAGCCUUCGAUGAAUAGGGGUUCUGAGAGGAAGGUCCCCCACAUUGGAACUGAGACACGGUCCAAACUCCUACGGGAGGCAGCAUG